CACGGACCAAGGAGUCUAACAUGUGCGCGAGUCUUUGGGUGGAAAAACCCGUGGGCGCAAUGAAAGUGAAGGCCUCUAACGAGGCUGAGGUGAGAGCUGGUGCUGCGGUGCCAGUGCAUCAUCGACCGGUCCAGCCUUCUCCAAGGCGGAUCCGAGUAAGAGCGUAUUUGUUGGGACCCGAAAGAUGGUGAACUAUGCCUGAAUAGGGUGAAGCCAGAGGAAACUCUGGUGGAGGCUCGUAGCGAUUCUGACGUGCAAAUCGAUCGUCAAAUUUGGGUAUAGGGGCGAAAGACUAAUCGAACCAUCUAGUAGCUGGUUCCCUCCGAAGUUUCCCUCAGGAUAGCUGGAACUCGUAACACAGUUUUAUCAGGUAAAGCGAAUGAUUAGAGGUCUUGGGGGUGAAACACCCUCAACCUAUUCUCAAACUUUAAAUAGGUAAGAAGCGUGACUUGCUUGACUGAAGCCACGCGUUUCAAUGUGAGUUCCAAGUGGGCCAUUUUUGGUAAGCAGAACUGGCGAUGCGGGAUGAACCGAACGCUCGGUUAAGGUGCCUAAGUCGACGCUCAUCAGACCCCAGAAAAGGUGUUGGUUGAUAUAGACAGCAGGACGGUGGCCAUGGAAGUCGGAAUCCGCUAAGGAGUGG
This 643-nucleotide ribosomal RNA is filed under the name Leucetta sp. CB3. Its description in RNAcentral is "eukaryotic LSU rRNA". It matches the Rfam family "Eukaryotic large subunit ribosomal RNA", at positions 660 to 1281 of the family's 3401-position model. Lineage: Eukaryota; Metazoa; Porifera; Calcarea; Clathrinida; Leucettidae. The record is from RNAcentral.